RNA transcript from Amyelois transitella, 3274 nucleotides. It is a transcript of the gene named cytochrome P450 6B2, with no coding region annotated. The transcript is spliced from 10 exons. NCBI's taxonomy places the organism in Eukaryota, Metazoa, Arthropoda, Insecta, Lepidoptera, Pyralidae. The record is from RefSeq and is a predicted model, not a curated record.
UCAUAGACUUUCCCUGUUACAGCAUCACAUUGCGCGCGAGAAUUCUAGUUAACGCAUUCGGUCUCUACGCGCAACCGGCCGGCAUCAUAGCCAAUACUAGAUACUAAAACAAAAAAUUAUAUUCUAGUGCAGCCAACCAGUGUGUACUCAUUUAAAAAAGUGUGUUGUGCGCCAAGUUUGAAAUUUGCAAUUCGAAAUUUAUAAAAAUAUGGUGAUGUCAAAUAAUAUUCCCGGCAAUUUGUAUAAAAAUGAAUUGGGGAAUUAAAAACAAAAGUGAUAUUUUGUAAAACGAAAUCAUGCUUAACACGUGACAAUGUACGGAUUCAAAAAGCCCUUGGUCUUGUUGUUUUUCAUCUUAUCGUAUGCCAUCCGGUAUUGCACCUUCGGUAAUGAUGCGUUAUGGCUUAUUUUCGCUUCACUUUUAACCUUGACUGUUCUUCUGGCCCUUGGUACUUAUGACCAUGACUAUUGGUCAAACAGGGGUGUAUUUUCACCCCCCGCUUGGCCCUUCGUGGGCCACAUCUGGUCGUCUAUUACAUUUAAAGAACAAGCAGGCCUGUGCUACAAAAGAAUUUAUGAUGCCCACAAAGACAAAAGAAUUUUGGGCACCCAUCAGUUUUACGUACGAACCCUCCUGGUAUGCGACCCUGAGCUGAUAAGGAAGAUCUGCGUCAACGACUUUCAACACUUUGUGGACAGAGGGAUGUACUUCAACAGAGAAGUGGACCCUUUGGCCGAGUCCGUGCUGUAUCUUAGAGGGGGGGAGUGGAAAAAACUGAGGGCCAAGAUAUCACCAUUAUUCUCGCCAAACAAACUGCGAGGCAUGUACCCACUCAUCGAAACCACCGCUGACGACUUCGUCGCCAAGAUAAAGAAUCUUCUCGAAGGGUUUCAAAAUGGUGGCGUUUUCAAAUGCGAAAAGUUAGCAGGCGGGUUUACCGCAGACGCCAUAGUUCCUUGCGCCUUCGGAGUCAAGAGUCACGUGAUGCAUAAUGAUCAUGAUCCCUUUGCAGUGGCUCUCCACGCAUUUUACGAGCUAUCCCCGUCUAAUAUACUGCAGAAGACCAUGCUUCACUUCUGGCCGAAGUUUGCGAUGUUUUUCCGGAUGAGAAAUAUACCAAAGAAAACCCAAGACUUCUUCUACGACGUAGUUACCAACGUUCUGAGGUCAAGGGAAAGAGGAGAGCUGGAGAAGAGAGGCGACUUCAUCGACAUGAUGAUGGCGUUGCGACAAGACGACAACAACAACAACAGCAGCAAUAACAAAACUAUUGAAAAGGACGACACCCAGAUCACUGACAUGAUAAUAUCAGCGAACGCGUUCAUCAUAUUCCUGGGUGGGUUCGAGACCACGUCUUCAACCCUGGCCUUCAUGCUGCUGGAGCUAGCUGCCGACCCUCGCGUGCAGGACGCCAUGAGGCGGGAAGUGAUGGAGGUGCUGACGAGGAACGGCGGACACGUCAGCUACGAUCAGCUGCAAGAGCUCACUUAUAUGGAUAUGGUUAUAAAUGAGACUCUAAGGCUGUACCCGCCCUUCGCCACCAUACAGCGACAGUGCACCAAGGACUACACCAUCCCCGGGACGAAGGUGGUGGUGGAAGAGGGAACCAUCCUCAUGUUCCCCACGCUGGCCAUCCAGAGGGAUGAACAGUACUUCGAGCAAGCCAGCGCAUUCAUACCGGAGCGCUGGCGCCGCGCGCCGCCGCCCGGCGUCUUCAUGCCGUUCGGAGACGGGCCCCGGUACUGUCUCGGUAAACGCUUCGCUAUUCUACAAAUGAAAUGCUGCCUAGUGCGUCUGCUAUCGAACUUCUCAUUCAGCCCAGCUCCCAACAAGUCGGGCGACAUGCUCGCCGAGCGCGCCGAGCCGUUCCCAGCAGACGCCAGGUCUCCCAUCACGUUCCACCCUGCUGAUUCUACACUGAAAAUAAGUCUGCUACCACGAAAUACCUGAAUUGAAUAGUAUUGUAUAAAUUAGUGUAUCGUUAUUUUACUGCUUUUCCCUUUGUGUGGAAAUUAUGUAAGUUUUUGAUUCAUCACAUGAAUACUUUUAGAUGUAUCAAGUAUUGGCUAUUUGAAAAGCAAUAAAUAUUAUUUUUGCUUUUUAUCUGUCUGAUUGUUCGCUCCUCCUUAUACAAGUGGAGCCUCAUAGAUUAAUUAAAUCGUUAUUAAUAAUACUGUGGUUAUAAUAUAAUUAUGUGAAAAAAAACGAUUUCGGAUCAGUUAUUCUUUCAAAUUUUUUAGUACCGUAAAAAUAAUAAAACUUAAUACAUUAAAAAGCCCGUUACCUGAUAAUUUUCUUGUCUAAUUAAUUCUUGUGAUAGAUAAAAUAACUUUAUAUUGAUAACAUAGAAUACCUCUUUUUAAUAUCAGUCAUAUAGAUAUUUUUCGUAUUAAAUGUUGUGUUCAAACUAAUGUAUUAUUGUGUAUACACUGUUAUUAUUGUGCGGGUAACUUCUGCUAAAUGAAGAGUUUUAUUUACUCCCUCCUAAACUUUUCUAUAAAAUAAUAUACUAGGAAAUAAUAUAAUUAAGGAAAUCAGUGUUUUCUUUUGAAAGUUGCUAAAGUUCCUUCUUAAAAAGAAGGAAUAUCUGCAGGCUAUAUACGUACUUAACAUAAAUAUAAAUAAUUCUGUGCAAAUUUUUGACGGUUUCGUCAGUAACAGCUAAUAAAUACGCCCGUCUCAGUAACUUAGUACACCGAUAAUAUUGUCAAAGUCUGACAGUAAUCCUACUAAUAAUGCAGGAAUGUGAAGCUAUAGAUUGACUGGUGCAUGAAGUUCCAGACUGACAUUUAGGGUCCAGUGAGCUUGCUAAUCUCGGAUUACUUAGUGGCCUGUUCUCAGAAUCGCUUCUGAAACGAUUAAGUACUGCCGGCACACAGCGUCUGGUUUCAAUAGUACUUACUGUUAAUAAUUGUAUGGCAGUACUAUAUAAUGAAAUUUGAACUUACAUAUGGGACUAUGAAUGUACCUAAACGUUUUAAUCUGAUCAAGAAGAUUUUUUUUAACGAGAGUUGGCAUAAACUAAAAAAAAUUAUCAAAAGGCAUUCUUCAAUUUAACUCAUAAACAUCUCCUGGCACUUGACAUUUCGUCCUCGUGAGCUACUUGAGCCCUGAGUUCGCUUAUUACAUGACAAAAAGUGGCACCAAGCCCUGCUCGCGUAACAAUGGCACGCGCGACGCCAUUUUUAUUGCGCGAAAAACUAUCGCUAUUUCGUUUUUUAAUAUGACCUGAAACAGGACAGAGAUGAGUUGCUAAGAAGAAUCCUAAGUUUA